This 700-nucleotide ribosomal RNA is filed under the name uncultured bacterium. RNAcentral describes it as "bacterial SSU rRNA". It matches the Rfam family "Bacterial small subunit ribosomal RNA", at positions 42 to 787 of the family's 1533-position model. The record is from RNAcentral.
UCAGGCCUAACACAUGCAAGUCGAACGAAGUAGCAAUACUUAGUGGCAGACGGGUGAGUAACAUGUAGGUAUCUGCCCUUUGGCCUGGAAUAACGCGAGGAAACUUGUGCUAAUACCGGAUAAGUCUUUACGGAGAAAGCUUUAUGCACCAUUGGAUGAGCCUGCACUUGAUUAGUUUGUUGGUGGGGUAAUGGCCUACCAAGACUGUGAUCAAUAGCUGAUUUGAGAGGAUGAUCAGCCACAUUGGGACUGAGACACGGCCCAAACUCCUACGGGAGGCAGCAGUGGGGAAUCUUGCACAAUGGAGGAAACUCUGAUGCAGCGAUGCCGCGUGAGUGAAGAAGGCCUUUGGGUUGUAAAGCUCUUUCGUCGGGGAAGAAAAUGACUGUACCCGAAUAAGAAGGUCCGGCUAACUUCGUGCCAGCAGCCGCGGUAAUACGAAGGGACCUAGCGUAGUUCGGAAUUACUGGGCUUAAAGAGUUCGUAGGUGGUUGAAAAAGUUGGUGGUGAAAGCCCAGAGCUUAACUCUGGAACUGCCAUCAAAACUUUUCAGCUAGAGUAUGAUAGAGGAAAGCAGAAUUUCUAGUGUAGAGGUGAAAUUCGUAGAUAUUAGAAAGAAUACCAAUUGCGAAGGCAGCUUUCUGGAUCAUUACUGACACUGAGGAACGAAAGCAUGGGUAGCGAAGAGGAUUAGAUACCC